CCUACGGGUGGCAGCAGUGAGGAAUAUUGGUCAAUGGACGAAAGUCUGAUCCAGCCAAGUCGCGUGAAGGAUGACUGCCCUAUGGGUUGUAAACUUCUUUUAUAUGGGAAUAAAAUGUUCCACGUGUGUGGUUUUGUAUGUACCAUAUGAAUAAGGAUCGGCUAACUCCGUGCCAGCAGCCGCGGUAAUACGGAGGUUCAGAGCGUUAUCCGGAUUUAUUGGGUGUAAAGGGAGCGUAGGUGGAUUGUUAAGUCAGUUGUGAAAGUUGGCGGCUCAACCGUAACAUUGCAGUUGAAACUGGCAGUCUUGAGUACAGGAGAGGUGGGCGGAAUUCGUGGUGUAGCGGUGAAAUGCGUAGAUAUCACGAAGAACUCCGAUUGCGAAGGCAGCCUACUGGACUGCAACUGACACUGAGGCUCGAAAGCGUGGGGAUCAAACAGGAUUAGAUACCCUUGUAGUC
RNAcentral lists this ribosomal RNA (460 nucleotides) under uncultured bacterium. RNAcentral describes it as "partial 16S ribosomal RNA". It matches the Rfam family "Bacterial small subunit ribosomal RNA", at positions 338 to 795 of the family's 1533-position model. The record is from RNAcentral.